GGAAAAUGGCCCGCCAGCCGAUGUUUUCAACUAGACGAGUAUGAAAGGGAAUACAGUGUUAGAUAUCAUCGAGGAUAUGUGACCAAAGGGUUUCAGAAGUCUUGAGAGAUGUAUGCAGAUCAAACCCAUCAAGUACGCCAACACCAUGUCUACAAGGUCAUACCUCUAGAACCUCUGACACCUCUACAGCUGAGGACAAAUCUAAAAGUGGACAGAGGGAUAGUAUGAAUGCUUCAGUGAAAUUAAGGAGCUCAGGUUCUAACAAGCUUAGUAGUGCAGUGCAACACAGAGGUACUCCGAUGUGCAAUUUUACAAGUUUUUCCAGACAGUGAUAACAGCGAGGCUUGAAGACUACUGUACACAAUUUCUUAACAAAUCCAAAAACAAAGCCGCGUAACACUCAACUUAGUGAUUCAAAGAAAACCAGACUACAAACAAGAAAGGGUCGAUUGAAUGGAGUGACAUUUUUUCCCUGAAGCGUCCUAUCAAGAUAUAGAGAAUCUAGUCGUUUGUGCCACGGCACAAAAAUUAUCAGACACAUAAGUAACAUUCAAGUAGUAGUAUGCAUUUACAUGGAGGAUAUGACAUAAUUGUAUUUUCAUAUUGAAUUUAUCAUAUAAGUUGAAUAAAGAAAAUAAAAUGUGAGGCUCUGUCGAGCAUUUUAAAAGUUUUAAUUAAUGCAAUUUGGAAAGUCACAAAUGUAAUAUUCUUUUAUCACAUGUUAGAUUUUCCUGUCAAAAAAUUGAAAAUUAUUCUUUCUUUUACUAUUUUAACAAGCCAACUUAAUCAACACUUCCAAUACUUUAAAAGACAUUGACGUCUAAUCUUUAUUACACUAGUGUAUAAUAAUUUUUAUGCCCCCGCCAUGUAAUGGCCGGGGCAUAUAGUGUUACCCUGUUCCGUCCUUCCGUCCUUCCGUCAUUCCGUCCUUCCGUCAUUCCGUCCUUCCGUCAUUCCGUCAUUCUGUCAUUCCGUCAUCAUCAGUUUCCGUUCAUUAUCUCCCCAACGGUACAACACAUUCAACUUAAAUUUGACAUAUGGAUAUGUCAUGAGAAAAUACAGGUCAAGUUCGAAUUUGGUCAUGGUUCGAUGCUUUUUGGCAGAGUUAUGCCCCUUUUACUUUGAAAAUAAUAUGAAAUUUUCAGUUUCCGUUCAUUAUCUCCCAAACGGUACAACACAUUCAACUCAAAUUUGACAUAUGCAUAUAUCAUGAGAAAAUACAGGUCAAGUUCGAAUUUGGUCAUGGUUCGAUGAUUUUUGGCAGAGUUAUGCCCCUUUUACUUUGAAAAUAAUAUGAAAUUUUCAGUUUCCGUUCAUUAUCUCCCCAACGGUACAACACAUUCAACUCAAAUUUGACAUAUGGAUAUGUCAUGAGAAAAUACAGGUCAAGUUCGAAUUUGGUCAUGGUUCGAUGAUUUUUGGCAGAGUUAUGCCCCUUUUACUUUGAAAAUAAUAUGAAAUUUUCAGUUUCUGUCAUUAUCUCCCCAACGGUACAACACAUUCAACUCAAAUUUGACAUAUGGAUAUGUCAUGAGAAUAUACAGGUCAAGUUCGAAUUUGGUCAUGGUUCGAUGAUUUUUGGCAGAGUUAUGCCCCUUUUAUUUUGAAAAUAAUGUGAAAUUUUCAGUUUCCAUUCAUUAUCUCCCAAACGGUACAACACAUUCAACUCAAAUUUGACAUAUGGAUAUGUCAUGAGAAAACACAGGUCAAGUUCGAAUUUGGUCAUGGUUUGAUGAUUUUUGGCAGAGUUAUGCCCCUUUUUCUUAGUAAAUAAUAUGAAAUUUUCAGUUUCUGUUCAUUAUCUCCCCAACAGUACAACACAUUCAACUCAAAUUUGACAUAUGGAUAUGUUUCUGGAAUGCCCAGGCCAAUUUCGAAUUUGGUCAUGGUUCAAUGAUUUUUGGCAGAGUAAUGCCCGUUUCACUUUGAAAAUAAUAUGAAAUUUACAGUUUCUGUUCAUUAUCUACCCAACAGUGUUACAUAUUCAACUCAAAUUUGACAUAUGGAUAUGUCAAAGGAAUGGGCAGGUCAAGUUGGAAUUUGGUCAUGGUUCGAUGAUUUUUUGGCAGAGUUAUGUCCCUUUCACUUUGAAAAUAAUAUAGAUACGUCUUAGGAAUAAGCAGUUUAAGUUUGAAUUUGGUCAUGGUUUAAUGAUUUUGGACAACCUUAUCUUUCUUGAAUGUUGGAAAUUUUUUGAACUUUUUGUUUCAGCACUCAUACUUUUGUGGAAAUGUAUGUAUAGCCAUUAUUUUGGCUACAAAUAUGAAAUAUGCUAUUUUCAAAAGGUUAAGACUGAAUAAUUUCAGUGCCUUGAAUAUUGUAUGAAAAUGGUUUGUGUUAACACUGAAAAGUUUAAAGGGCUUUGAACUUAAAAUGAAAACAAUAAUUUGUGCAAACAAAUUUGGAGCUAAAUAUUAUAACAUUUGAAAUUUUGGCUGCAUGCGGGGGCAUCCGUGGCAUGAUGACACAUUUCUAGUUUUGUAAUGACUUUAUUACAAUCCUGUGAUGUCAAACAUAUAUGAUAAUGUUCUAUUAGCAUUAAUUGUAGACUUGUUGAACUUUUUUCUUAACAAACUCUAUGAAAUACUGGUUGAACCCUAAUAGUGCUGGAAACAAACGUUUCAGGCCAUGUUGACCAGUGUAGACCAGAUUUGCAGGCACCCUUGCCAGUUGAUCGAAUCACACACUUAAUUGCCAACAUGGUUGGAAGGGUCUUAUUGUCCAAGCUGCAAAGAGUGUAUACCCAUAUAAACUAGCUGGCACAGUUUGUGUCAGUUGAUAUCAGUCUGUGCUGGUUGCAAAUUCAAAUCCAAUACUUUCAUAGAAUUAUAUGUUUUUAUUUAAUGUUUAUUGCAUCAAUAAAUUGAUAAUCUGAAAAAAUAUUGCAAGUCAGGUUUUCAAGUAUAAUCCUAAUUAACUUUUAGAACAUUUUGCAUAAAGUAAGGUGAUAUCUCUAAGUUGUCAAAGAAAAGUUUUUGCAGCUCUUUAUAAUUAAACAUGGCAUGGCACUUGUAUCUAUAGCUUUGUCCACAACACAAGUACUCAAAUUUUGUGACAUUUUUUAAUAUAGUUUUCCCCAUAUUCCAAUUACAGUAAUUUGUUACAUUUCUCUUUCCUCUAUCAUUCUUAGUUUUUGUAUUUAAUAUUUUCCAAGUGGUAAAUAAAAACAAUAUAAAAUUUCACGAUUAUUUCUAAUAUUUUAUUUACUUGUGUAUUUCAUGCAAUUUAGGCUAAAAAUGUAAAAAAGUAAUUUUUGAAGAAUUUUUUUUUUUAAGUUAGACCAGUGUUGCUUCAGCCAUCAAUAUGUUAACUUGUCAUGUAGUAUGUACACAAACAUACUGGGAGAAGAAACAGAUGUUUGGCUGAAUGAAAGUACAAAAUGUUUUUGCUUAUCGUUUUCCAAUGAAUAACCAUGUACAAGGUUAAAUUACUUUUUUGGGUGAUGUUCUUUUCUGUGGAAAGACCAGGUGUUGCUUCACAAUUGUUUUUUCCUCAUUAAUAUCAUUUUAUGUAAUUUCCAUUUUUGGCUUUUUGCUUGAUAUAUUGAUGUCCUGUGUGAGCAUCUAUUAGCAAUACAUGUAUCAAUGAGUGUCAUGAGUUACUUAUAAGACCAUGAAGUACAAAAUAAAACUAUAUUACAGCU
Long non-coding RNA from Ruditapes philippinarum (Manila clam), 3643 nucleotides. RefSeq lists it as uncharacterized. Lineage: Eukaryota; Metazoa; Mollusca; Bivalvia; Venerida; Veneridae. The transcript is spliced from 5 exons. The record is from RefSeq and is a predicted model, not a curated record.